UACUCUUUCCAUAUACAACUUGAUAAAUCUCUUGGUUGGUCUUUAGGGUCCCAAGUUAUGGUUAUCGAGGCAGAGUGAUGCUUCCUUUUGAAGAAAAUGGAUCGUUCACAAAUUGGGGUCCUAUUUGACUAGCAGAUCUUUGAUGCCUUAUUCUUGUGAUGGGAUGAUAUGCAAAUCAUCUU
Triticum aestivum (bread wheat) is the source of this 182-nucleotide long non-coding RNA. RefSeq lists it as uncharacterized. The record is from RefSeq and is a predicted model, not a curated record. The transcript is spliced from 2 exons. NCBI's taxonomy places the organism in Eukaryota, Viridiplantae, Streptophyta, Magnoliopsida, Poales, Poaceae.